CCUACGGGUGGCAGCAGUGAGGAAUAUUGGUCAAUGGCCGGAAGGCUGAACCAGCCAAGCCGCGUGAAGGACGAAGGUGCCAAGCAUUGUAAACUUCUUUUGUCAAGGGACAAAAUCAGGCUCGAGAGCCUGACCGAGGGUACUUGAAGAAAAAGCAUCGGCUAACUCCGUGCCAGCAGCCGCGGUAAUACGGAGGAUUCGAGCGUUAUCCGGAUUUAUUGGGUUUAAAGGGUGCGUAGGCGGCCUGUUAAGUCAGCGGGAAAAGCCCGGGGCUCAACCCCGGCGAGCCGUUGAAACUGGCUGUCUUGAGAUGUCGAGAGGUAUGCGGAAUGCGCAGUGUAGCGGUGAAAUGCUUAGAUAUUGCGCAGAACUCCGAUUGCGAAGGCAGCAUACCGGCGGCGAUCUGACGCUGAGGCACGAAAGCGUGGGUAUCGAACAGGAUUAGAUACCCGGGUAGUC
This 459-nucleotide ribosomal RNA is filed under the name uncultured bacterium. Its description in RNAcentral is "partial 16S ribosomal RNA". It matches the Rfam family "Bacterial small subunit ribosomal RNA", at positions 338 to 795 of the family's 1533-position model. The record is from RNAcentral.